UUGCAAAGCUUUGCAUGUGUUUGGAGAAACAAAAAAUUAACAAAAAAAUAAAAUAAAAGUGUCCUGGAUAUAAAUCAUAAAAUAUUUGAGUUCGAGCAAAGGAAAAAUGUUUUAUAUGAUAAAUAGAGCUAAGCCAAAAAAAUAUAGAUUAGCAUAAUUGCCAAAUUUAUUAAAUCAUUUUAUGCCCACUUUUAAGGAGAGAUCUAUCAAAACAAAAGAGACCCAUGAAAUAAAAUCUACAUCUUCCUUUUGUUACAAAUAGAUAUGCAUGUUUGCAUGAGUGAAUAGGUAUCUUGCUAUCUUGCUAUUGCUUUUGGAUGACUGCCAUGAAAUGGGAUGAUUUUUAAGUAGAUAGAAUUAUUAUAUAAGGGCUAGGACUCUUCUUUACUUUGUUUUUAAAAAAGGGUUAGAACUCUUAUUUAUGUUAACUUUGAGAAAAGAUUAUGACUCUUAUUGAUAUCUCACUCUCAUUAUCUUAAACCAAUCCCUUCAGUUGCAGUUAGAUAAUAGAGAAGACUAUGCAAUCCAACCAAUUAAAGUUAAAAAAUUUAGAAAAAACAAUUGACUCCUAAAUUUCUCAG
RNAcentral lists this long non-coding RNA (581 nucleotides) under Phoenix dactylifera (date palm). Its description in RNAcentral is "long non-coding RNA (PDAC_LNC020826)". The record is from RNAcentral. Lineage: Eukaryota; Viridiplantae; Streptophyta; Magnoliopsida; Arecales; Arecaceae.